RNAcentral lists this long non-coding RNA (325 nucleotides) under Ananas comosus (pineapple). RNAcentral describes it as "long non-coding RNA (ACOM_LNC043937)". Lineage: Eukaryota; Viridiplantae; Streptophyta; Magnoliopsida; Poales; Bromeliaceae. The record is from RNAcentral.
CCAGAAUUCCAGCAUUUAAGACUUAGCCAAAUUUUCAGCUUUUUCACCGUUUUCGCUCUGUUUUUGCUCAUUUUCGCUCGUUUGACAUCCGAUUCGUUUCAAAUCGAACCAAGACUCUCCAAACAUGUUUUCGAGCAUAUUUUCAUCAUCUUUUCAUCCACGCUAAUGCCGAAUUUAGUUUAUGGUCCAACAUACCCUUUCAGAUUUCGUUUUCGCGCCUACGCGCACCAAAACGCCCGUAUGCUCCCGAACUUCACCGAACUUUACCGGAACCAUUCAAAUGGCUUUCCAAACCAAUGUACAACGUAACUUCAUAAUUUUAUAA